CCUACGGGUGGCAGCAGUGAGGAAUAUUGGUCAAUGGACGAGAGUCUGAACCAGCCAAGUAGCGUGAAGGAUGACUGCCCUAUGGGUUGUAAACUUCUUUUAUAUGGGAAUAAAACGUUCCACGUGUGGGAUUUUGUAUGUACCAUAUGAAUAAGGAUCGGCUAACUCCGUACCAGCAGCCGCGGUAAUACGGAGGAUCCGAGCGUUAUCCGGAUUUAUUGGGUUUAAAGGGAGCGUAGGUGGAUUGUUAAGUCAGUUGUGAAAGUUUGCGGCUCAACCGUAAAAUUGCAGUUGAAACUGGCAGUCUUGAGUACAGUAGAGGUGGGCGGAAUUCGUGGUGUAGCGGUGAAAUGCUUAGAUAUCACGAAGAACUCCGAUUGCGAAGGCAGUUCACUGGACUGCAACUGACACUGAGGCUCGAAAGUGUGGGUAUCAAACAGGAUUAGAUACCCUUGUAGUC
Molecule: ribosomal RNA, 460 nt
Filed under: uncultured bacterium
Lineage: Bacteria
Description: partial 16S ribosomal RNA
Rfam family: Bacterial small subunit ribosomal RNA
Source: RNAcentral